Molecule: non-coding RNA, 1265 nt
Organism: Macaca mulatta (Rhesus monkey)
Lineage: Eukaryota; Metazoa; Chordata; Mammalia; Primates; Cercopithecidae
Source: RefSeq, a predicted model, not a curated record
GGCGACAGAGUGAGACCGCAUCUCAAAAACAAACAAAUAGAAAACUGGGAACAUGUUCUUUGAGUUUUGUGAGCUGCUCUCGAAACUAAUCGAGCCCAGAAAGGGAGCCAUGGGAACCCCAGUUUGGAACUGAUCAGAAGUUCCGGAGUAGAAGCCGGGGCUUAACGGGACGGAGUUCUCAACCUGUGGAAUCCGACGCUCUCUGUCUCCAGGAAGAUAAUGUCAGAAUUGAGGUAGAGGAUGCCCGGCUGGUGUCUUCUGCAGAACUGAUGACUAGCUUGAUGUGGAGGGGCGACCCCACACGACUGAUCACGGAAGUAUCCUAUGUUGAUUGCUGUCAUAGGAGAGCAGGGGAAACACCGUUUGCGGGCUUUUUGGUUUUGUUUUAUUUGGAAUUAACAGAGACUCCUACUUUUGAACCGUGCAGCACUGAGCAAAUAAUUUCUACUCUGUAAGCAUCUGUUUCAUCGUCUGUCAAUGGGAAUCAGUGUCGCCUUCGCCACAGAGAUUACAACAUGAGGUGAAGUGAGACGACGAAUCAAACUUGACUUAUGGAGCCAAUAAAAGCCCCUUGGGAAAACAGGCCUCAUACCUUGUUUACACAGCCCCUGUACAGGGUUCGUGACCUGUGGUCAUAAAACCUUGGAAUGAUUUUCUGAACUUUCCAUGAAGCAGGUCCUAAGACCCUCAUGUAAGAAGUGCUGCCUAUAUCCACAGUACUGUAUCCACCAGAAAGGUACUUUCUUAUCUCUGAAGACUGAAGGGUUACAGAGAAAAAUCUGAACAAAUAAACCUUGCUAAAUUCUCCCCCAGUUUAUUCCCAUCUUUGUUCAACUAUAUCUCCCCACAACUGUCACUCUUCAUGAAACCCAGCAUAGAAACACACAAGUUUAACAGCUGCUCUGGGUCUUCCUUUCCUUAGGAAGGCUCCUAUGUCAUGGGAAACUUACAUGCAACAUCUAUGCUUUGCUCUUGUUAAUCUGUCUUUUAUCAUGGAGGCCUCAGCCAUGAACCUAGGAUGGGUACGGAAAAGCUAUUUUUUGUUCCCUAUAGUAAUCUCGCAUUAGGUGUCUAUUGAUUAAUUUAUCAAUUAAAUUAGGCUCAGUCAAAGUGCUGAUGCCCAGUGACACAAUGAAGAGCUGCCACCUCCAGGUUCUUAGUCAGGGCUUGCUUUGCAGUGAGGGAGAGAAACUCACUGAAGUCAGCAUAGGUAAAGGGGUGAUUGUUGCAAGGAUAUGGGGGAAUCUUGUGGACCACUAAGAACA